GAGUAUACGUGUAUGAUUCCUCCUUCCUAAGAUAAAAGGAGAUUAGUGCUGUAAUCCAACAUGUAUUUAGUGAAAGGAGUUCAAAAUUAUCAUUUGUUUCUUAAUUCUUAAUAAUUUAAAAACAACCCAACUUGCUUGAUAAUUAGUGCUUAAUUAGUUCUUAAUUCUUGGUGCCUAAAGAACCGAAAAACUUUUCUAAAAGUUGGUAAAUGGAUGCGGAUGUGGAUCAUGUGGAUGCCUAAUCUAAUUACAUGGUGAUUCUUCCUUGCUCAGCCCACAUGCCAUGCAUGUGAUGGAAGUGUACAGUGUACGUACAUGUAUCCAGUACACCAGAGUACAAAGCAACCAAAAUAUUCCCACAAAAAAUGAAGCCUUUAAAAGUUAGCACAACUGGAAAAUUAAUCCACAGAUUGAUUUGAAUUUGAUAUGGGCUCAAAACUUGAAAAGCUGUUUUUACUUGUUUAAAAUGUAUGGUAUCCCAAUUUCAUUCACACACAUUUUCAUGGGCGGUGCGAAUCCCAAAAAAUAAUGGGAGGCCUCGGGUGCCAUUUUGUUGAGGGUCUUUUCCCUUCUUCUUUUUCUUUGUUGUCUGUUCUUCCUUUCCCUUUUAUUUCUUUUUGCGGUUGUAAUUUGUGACCAUUUAGUUGCAUAUCUUGCAACAUGGAAGGAAAACAAUUUCAAGCCUAAAUUUUUUACCUAGUUUUUCUCAACCCGUGAAGGGCCUUUGCAUCACACAGUCGUUUUCUUUAGGUUAAAAAUUCAAGGAACCAUUUAAAUAAACUUCACGUUUUAAUGCAUAAAUCCUAUGAUUUAGACUAUCGCUUAUAUAUUUUUUUUUUCUUUUCUUUUGGGCUCUUUUCAUGAGCAGCCCACUUCAAACCAACUUCAUUAGGCCCACUCAAGUUAAAGACAACUGAUUAGCCUUCCUGGCAAUCCCCCCAAAACAACACACCUACCUAACCAACCAAUACAAAUCAAACUAGCCUCCCUUCUUUUUAAGCAACGCAUUUUAGGUUGGGCAUGUGUGAGUGCGCGAAGAAACACCUUCCAC
Molecule: long non-coding RNA, 1051 nt
Filed under: Prunus persica (peach)
Lineage: Eukaryota; Viridiplantae; Streptophyta; Magnoliopsida; Rosales; Rosaceae
Description: long non-coding RNA (PPER_LNC005472)
Source: RNAcentral